RNAcentral lists this non-coding RNA (31 nucleotides) under Mus musculus (house mouse). The record is from RNAcentral. Lineage: Eukaryota; Metazoa; Chordata; Mammalia; Rodentia; Muridae.
UACCAACAGACAAACCAUAAAGUGAAAGACA